UGAGAGUAUUUAUCUAAUCCCAAAUUGCAGGCGAAUUUUCUUAAUGCUCAACCCAUAAAACCCCGGGAUUAAGAGAAGAAAGAGAGAGAGGAGAGGGGAGGGGGGGAGAGUAGAGAGGGAGAGACACUGAGAUGAAAGUUUCUUGUACACAGCGUAGAGGACUGAGGCGGCCGUCGCUAGGCAAAUGUCCAGGGCCCCUCUGGGAUGGUGUAAACUUGUUCAGCUCCAAAUACAACCCAGUAUCCUGCCCUGCAAUCAAGAGGACCAUUUUUUUCCAUAUGAAAAGUCUUAUGGAUAUACAACCUUCUCCUCAAACCAGUGUCAAGUUUUCAUUGCAAUGAAGUAGCAGCAGUGUUUAAGGUAAGAAAGUUUCUGCUUUUAUUGAAAAUUUAUAUAUGACUCAGAAUUGUAAUAAAUAAACAUAACCAUUUUCACAAAAAAUGACAGUGCUAUGCUAGAGAAGGAAAUAUUAAUUGGGGGAUUUACUCAUAGUGGCAAGACCGACUUUUAUCAAUACAGAAUAAAUAUUAACAGCAUUCUUGAGCCAAUGUUGAGACCCAACAAAAUUGUAGGAACCAAGCUAGAUGUAAUAAAUAAUUAUCCAGAGAAAAAGAUGGCGCAUUCUCAGAUGAUAACACUGUCUUUGUAAACUGAUGCGUGUCAAUUAGUCCCAUCCUCACAGCUCACCUUUAAAUCACAGGACUUGUCUCAGGCUAUGUUAAAGAGCCAUCCUCUGAAGAAAGCAGAGGAGAGGAGCUCUAUUAUCCUUACAGUGAAACGCAAAACAACUGCAGAAAAUCCCACUGGUAAAUAGAACACAGUUUAAUAAGUAGAUUGAAUAUGCUCUAACUAUGAAAUUUAGGUAACAGAGUCAGUGUUACACAUGGCAGGACUGGAAAAAAAUCAUUCAUGACAUUUUUCUUAUCCCCCUCUUACCCCCCUCCCACCAUCAUUAUGCUAUUAACAACAACAACAACAACAAAAAUGUUUUCAAAUUUUCCUCCCAUCAGACAAUGAGGGAAAAUAAUGCGGGAAGGGUUUUCUUUUCUUUCUUCUUUUAACAGUUUCUUGAACACUCCCAAUACCAAUCACUCACAAGGUAUCUGUGCAAAUCUAUUUCGCAUGAUUUCAAGGAAAUGAUUAACUCACAUACACAAAAAAAAUCCUUAAACAAAGCUAUUUUGGAUUUCUGUAUAUUAUCUGGAAAGGAGGGAAGAAAAGGGGUGGUGGUGGUAAAGAAGUACAAUCCAGCCAAACAAAAUGUUAAGAGUUUUAAAUCAACAACGAGUCUGACUUAUUCUGGUCUGGGGACCCAAGACUAAAAUGUUGGGAAAGAUUCUGGUCUGGCUGCUAUUGGAGAACACAUUUCUCUUCUUUCUUGGCCAUCUUGCCUUUGUUUUGCUCCAGAGUUCGCUCCAAAUGCUCAUCUUCUUCUUCGGCCCUGGAAGUCAAACAGGAAACAAAAUUAUUUUUCUUCGUGGAGGGCAGAGCAGCACCCUCUCGCCCGCAUUCUGAGCCCCAGCAGGAAUUGGGAUUGCGGGGUCAGCGGGAGGCUGCCCCGGCCCACCCGAGACCUCUGGACUGAACUUUCCGUAAACUUCUAGGCCCCUCAGCAGGCGGCAGAGCCUAGAGCCCGACCCCAAUGCCCACUCACUGCUUCUCCUGCGCGUCCAGGUCCCUGACUAGCGCGUCGCGCUUGUUCACCAGGGCCACCAGCUCAUCCAGCAGGAGUUGCUCGCGUCGCUUCUGGGCCUCGGUCUUCUGCCAGUCUGCAGAGGACGGGAGGCUCGUUACCCACCCGAAGGGCCUCCGCACACCCGGCCCCCUGCCCUCCCCUUCCCAAUUUCCUUGUAUUUCUCCACAAACCAUAUUAUAGAGUCACUAGCUAGUGUUUUAUGGAGAGUUUGGCCGUCGUGGUGCGGAUUUCACCCCUAAGACCCUACUUUCUAAAUAUUUCCCGCAGAUGGAGACGGCUACGGCUGGGCUGGAGCCUGCAAAAGUGACCAGGUGUGAGCCGGUGGCCAGCCGGAGGUGUGCGCCUGAUUUCAGCCAAAGUGGGGGAGGGAGAACUGGAGUCCUAGAAGAGGUCUGCCGGAGGCUUGGGGGGGGGGUGGUAAAUGAGGAGGCGGGAAGCAGAGAUGGGCGAUAAAAUCAUUCUGAAAAGGCUAGAGAAUCUGCUUGAGAACCUAUCCUCCUCCCCCACCCCCCUGCCCACCCCAUACAGCCCAUUCUUCGCUAAUUUCCUCUUCGCUCUAUUUUAGCAGUUGGAUGUAUCUCACACUGGGCGCCAUAUGCUUCACAAUAACUUUAAAAGUAGUGAAUCGGCUAAUUAGCAUUUUUCUUUGAAGUAAAAAAUAAAUUUGCUCUGCAAUAUUACACUGCAGCUCUCGAUCGCAUCACAGCCAGUUUUCUUUUGGAGAGGUUUGCUGGGUGGUUUCAAAUCAAAGCACUUUUGCAAAGGAAAAAUUACAUACUUCUAUUUGAAACCCUAUGUUAAAGGUUGGAAAACCCGAUGGGCAGUGCUCUUUCCUUGGGUAGGCGCAGUUUUUUGAAGGUUUUAGGCCCCAAUGAUAUAUUUCCUAAUCUUUGCUGGUCUGAUAAUUUCCUUAAGAUGAGCAGCAGUUUCGUUUAAUAAAAACAGGACCAAAUCGAACAUUUAAAGCACUUUUGAAACCAAAGCCAACUGCUCUCUGGCCAGACUGUAAGGGCUUGUAGCUGUCAAUCAAUCCCCAGUCUACCCCGCCUCCCUCAUUAGGAAGGUAAACAAUGAAAAGAAGUAGUAGAUGAUGAGGCAGAUAGCAGAACAAAUGAGGACCUAGAGGGAAACAGGACACCAGCUU
Molecule: non-coding RNA, 2840 nt
Organism: Ceratotherium simum simum (southern white rhinoceros)
Lineage: Eukaryota; Metazoa; Chordata; Mammalia; Perissodactyla; Rhinocerotidae
Source: RefSeq, a predicted model, not a curated record